GGAAAGGCUAAUCCACAAAAACGGAGAAACGUCCAUAAUUCCAUUAUUCAUAAUCAUGUCAAGGUUUUAGGUUUUUCUGCAGUUCCAUCUCUAAAAAGUGUGAUGUCUUCCCGUCACUGAUUUCAGUUUGAAAACUUUGUAUUUAUUCACAGAUUUCUGUGAGAUCAUCCUAAAAUUUGUAACGAAAAAUGGGCUCAAAAGAGCCCUCUGCCUAACGGCAUGUAGCCUAUAGCAUAACGUGAUAUUUUCAGUAGUGUAUGCAAAAAGGUCGGAAUUGAUGGAGAGUAGGGUUGCCUAAAUGGUUUAGGUUACAUUUUAAAUGUGUCGUUUUUUUGUUUAUACAUAUGGAUGGAUGGAGGGGGCAAGCUGGCAAAGUUUGUCAUGUGCAGUUUCUGACAGGCUACUUCACAACAAAACAAUUGCAGGUUGGUCUUAGAGGGCAAACAGAAUAAUUUCACUCGAUUCAUGGGUUACCUGACUGGUUGGGAAGGGAAAGAGCUGCCGUGUUGUCCGCCGUGGUUCCCAGUCGCUAUAGUUAGCCUACUAUGCCUACUCCAAGUAGUCCUAUGUCAUGCCGCUGCUACACGCCUCACAACAAAUGAACUGCAAGCGUGUUCACGUGACACGGUGACAGUGAAAAAGCGACAGGGUUCGGGUGUCUUUGAAGAAGGGGCACAAAUCAAGCCAUUAUUUUCACACCUUUUUAAAUCGCGCAGCUUUAAAAAAAUAAUAAUAAUCACGUCUUUCAAAAGGGCACUUUUUUGGACUGAAGGCAAAAGGGCAAGUGCUUCAGCACCACCUCGUCUCUAUCUGUGCAUGCCAGUGGCAGUGUGUCCCUCAGUCUGUCCUCACUCUGGACACUUUUUUGUUUUUGCAAGUGUUUUUGUUUUUGCAGGUGUUUUUCUUUGGCAGGUGUUUUUGUUUUUGCAGCAAUUUUCUUUUUGCAGGUUUUUUUCUUUUGCAGGUGUUUUUGUUUUUGCAGCAUUUUUCUUUUUGCAGGUGUUUUUGUUUUUGCAAGUGUUUUUCUUUUUGCAGGUGUUUUUCUUUUGCAGGUGUUUUUGUUUUUGCAGGUGUUUUUCUUUUUGCAGGUGUUUUUCUUUUGCAGGGGUUUUUGUUUUUGCAGGUGUUUUUCUUUUGCAGGUGUUUUUGUUUUUGCAGCAUUUUUGUUUUUGCAGGUGUUUUUCUUUUGCAGGUGUUUUUGUUUUUGCAGCAUUUUUGUUUUUGCAGGUGUUUUUCUUUUGCAGGUGUUUUUGUUUUUGCAGCAUUUUUCUUUUGCAGGGGUUUUUCUUUUUGCAAGUGUUUUUCUUUUGCAGGUGUUUUUCUUUUUGCAGGUGUUUUUCUUUUGCAGGUGUUGUUCUUUUUGCAGGUGUUUUUCUUUUGCAGGUGUUUUUGUUUUUGCAGCAUUUUUCUUUUUGCAAGUGUUUUCUGAAGUUGCAGUCCGUUUGGCCUCUCAGUGCCACCGUAACAGGUGGAAUCAGGACCACAUUAAGACCUAAUCACCUUCUCUCUCUGUCACACACACACACACACACACACACACACACACACACACACACACAUUUGCUGUAACACAAAAAGAGAGAGAGUAUUUAAAUGUAAAGUCUGAACAUUAGUCACUCUGUCUUCGGUGUGUGUUAGGAGGGUAAAAGUCCAGCUGGCUUAUUUUCCUACCUGGACUCCAUGGUAACGUUGUCAUAAAAGCACGUCAAUAAUUAAUAUGGACUUUUGCGUGUGCGUGCUUUCAAAG
Molecule: long non-coding RNA, 1747 nt
Organism: Astatotilapia calliptera (eastern happy)
Lineage: Eukaryota; Metazoa; Chordata; Actinopteri; Cichliformes; Cichlidae
Source: Ensembl